RNAcentral lists this long non-coding RNA (14450 nucleotides) under Pelobates cultripes (western spadefoot toad). The record is from RNAcentral. Lineage: Eukaryota; Metazoa; Chordata; Amphibia; Anura; Pelobatidae.
AGAGAGAAAAUAUCUGAAGCAUAUCAGACUGGUCCCACCUGUACGGACAGUCCAGAUCCGAAAUGCCAGUAAGUUCCCUUUGCACAAGGGAUACAGCAACCCCACACGAUCGUUUCAGCCUCGUCAGUGAGGUGUAGCUGAUAACCCUCUAGGCACAGUGAGCACGUGGUCCACGUCUGGAUUACCUGUUGAAACACGUCAAUGCAUUAAAGCAACAAAAGAAAUACUGAGAACUCUAAGAACGGACAAAAGGUUAGAGUAAACUCAAUAGCUUGCCCUUCGGUACAUCCCCGCUAUGGUCUCAAAAUACUUUUUACUCACUUGUGCUAUUGCACCAAACACAGGUACAGACAUCAAUUCUACAAUCACUGCACCAAACACAGGUACAGACACUGACUCCAUAAUCACUGCAUCAAACACAGGUACAGACACUGACUCUACAAUCACUGCAUCAAACACAGGUACAGACACUGACUCUACAAUCACUGCAUCAAACACAGGUACAGACACUGACUCUACAAUCACUGCAUCAAACACAGGUACAGACACUGACUCUACAAUCACUGCAUCAAACACAGGUACAGGCACUGACUCUACAAUCACUGCAUCAAACACAGGUACAGACAUUGACUCUACAAUCACUGCACCAAACACAGGUACAGGCACUGACUCUACAAUCACUGCAUCAAACACAGGUACAGACACUGACUCCAUAAUCACUGCAUCAAACACAGGUACAGACACUGACUCUACAAUCACUGCAUCAAACACAGGUACAGACAUUGACUCUACAAUCACUGCACCAAACACAGGUACAGACAUUGACUCUACAAUCACUGCAUCAAACACAGGUACUGACACUGACUCUACAAUCACUGCAUCAAACACAGGUACAGACAUUGACUCUACAAUCACUGCAUCAAACACAGGUACAGACACUGACUCUACAAUCACUGCAUCAAACACAGGUACAGACACUGACUCUACAAUCACUGCAUCAAACACAGGUACAGACACUGACUCUACAAUCACUGCAUCAAACACAGGUACAGACACUGACUCUACAAUCACUCACUACAGCAUCAAACACAGGUACAGACACUGACUCUACAAUCACUGCAUCAAACACAGGUACAGACACUGACUCUACAAUCACUGCAUCAAACACAGGUACAGACACUGACUCUACAAUCACUGCAUCAAACACAGGUACAGACACUGACUCUACAAUCACUGCAUCAAACACAGGUACAGACAUCAACUCUACAAUCACUGCAUCAAACACAGGUACAGACACUGACUCUACAAUCACUGCAUCAAACACAGGUACAGACACUGACUCCACAAUCACUGCAUCAAACACAGGUACAGACACUGACUCUACAAUCACUGCAUCAAACACAGGUACAGACAUUGACUCUACAAUCACUGCACCAAACACAGGUACAGGCACUGACUCUACAAUCACUGCACCAAACACGGGUACAGACACUGACUCUACAAUCACUGCAUCAAACACAGGUACAGACACUGACUCUACAAUCACUGCAUCAAACACAGGUACAGACACUGACUCUACAAUCACUGCAUCAAACACAGGUACAGACACUGACUCUACAAUCACUGCAUCAAACACAGGUACAGGCACUGACUCUACAAUCACUGCAUCAAACACAGGUACAGACACUGACUCUACAAUCACUGCAUCAAACACAGGUACAGGCACUGACUCUACAAUCACUGCACCAAACACGGGUACAGACACUGACUCUACAAUCACUGCAUCAAACACGGGUACAGGCACUGACUCUACAACCACUGCAUCAAACACAGGUACAGACACUGACUCUACAAUCACUGCAUCAAACACGGGUACAGGCACUGACUCUACAAUCACUGCAUCAAACACAGGUACAGACACUGACUCUACAAUCACUGCACCAAACACAGGUACAGACAUUGACUCUACAAUCACUGCAUCAAACACAGGUACAGACACUGACUCUACAAUCACUGCACCAAACACAGGUACAGACAUUGACUCUACAAUCACUGCACCAAACACAGGUACAAACACUGACUCUACAAUCACUGCACCAAACACAGGUACAGACAUUGACUCUACAAUCACUGCACCAAACACAGGUACAGGCACUGACUCUACAAUCACUGCAUCAAACACAGGUACAGACACUGACUCUACAAUCACUGCAUCAAACACAGGUACAGACAUCAAUUCUACAAUCACUGCACCAAACACAGGUACAGACACUGACUCCAUAAUCACUGCAUCAAACACAGGUACAGACAUUGACUCUACAAUCACUGCAUCAAACACAGGUACAGGCACUGACUCUACAAUCACUGCAUCAAACACAGGUACAGACACUGACUCUACAAUCACUGCAUCAAACACAGGUACAGACACUGACUCUACAAUCACUGCAUCAAACACAGGUACAGACACUGACUCUACAAUCACUGCACCAAACACAGGUACAGACAUUGACUCUACAAUCACUGCAUCAAACACAGGCACAGACAUUGACUCUACAACCACUGCAUCAAACACAGGUACAGACACUGACUCUACAAUCACUGCACCAAACACGGGUACAGGCACUCACUCUACAAUCACUGCAUCAAACACAGGCACAGACAUUGACUCUACAACCACUGCAUCAAACACAGGUACAGACACUGACUCUACAAUCACUGCAUCAAACACAGGUACAGACACUGACUCUACAAUCACUGCAUCAAACACAGGUACAGACACUGACUCUACAAUCACUGCAUCAAACACAGGUACAGACACUGACUCUACAAUCACUGCAUCAAACACAGGUACAGACACUGACUCUACAAUGACUGCAUCAAACACAGGUACAGACACUGACUCUACAAUCACUGCACCAAACACAGGUACAGGCACUGACUCUACAAUCACUGCACCAAACACGGGUACAGACACUGACUCCAUAAUCACUGCAUCAAACACAGGUACAGACAUUGACUCUACAAUCACUGCAUCAAACACAGGUACAGGCACUGACUCUACAAUCACUGCAUCAAACACAGGUACCGACACUGACUCUACAAUCACUGCAUCAAACACAGGUACAGACACUGACUCUACAAUCACUGCAUCAAACACAGGUACAGACAUUGACUCUACAAUCACUGCACCAAACACAGGUACAGACACUGACUCUACAAUCACUGCAUCAAACACAGGUACAGACACUGAUUCUACAAUCACUGCAUCAAACACAGGUACAGGCACUGACUCUACAAUCACUGCACCAAACACGGGUACAGACAUCAACUCUACAAUCACUGCAUCAAACACAGGUACAGACACUGACUCUACAAUCACUGCAUCAAACACAGGUACAGACACUGACUCUACAAUCACUGCAUCAAACACAGGUACAGACACUGACUCUACAAUCACUGCAUCAAACACAGGUACAGACACUGACUCUACAAUCACUGCAUCAAACACAGGUACAGACACUGACUCUACAAUCACUGCAUCAAACACAGGUACAGACACUGACUCUACAAUCACUGCAUCAAACACAGGUACAGACACUGACUCUACAAUCACUGCAUCAAACACAGGUACAGACACUGACUCUACAAUCACUGCAUCAAACACAGGUACAGACACUGACUCUACAAUCACUGCAUCAAACACAGGUACAGACACUGACUCUACAAUCACUGCAUCAAACACAGGUACAGACACUGACUCUACAAUCACUGCAUCAAACACAGGUACAGACACUGACUCUACAAUCACUGCAUCAAACACAGGUACAGACACUGACUCUACAAUCACUGCAUCAAACACAGGUACAGACACUGACUCUACAAUCACUGCACCAAACACAGGUACAGACACUGACUCUACAAUCACUGCAUCAAACACAGGUACAGACACUGACUCUACAACCACUGCAUCAAACACAGGUACAGACACUGACUCUACAAUCACUGCAUCAAACACAGGUACAGACACUGACUCUACAAUCACUGCAUCAAACACAGGUACAGACACUGACUCUACAAUCACUGCAUCAAACACAGGUACAGACACUGAUUCUACAAUCACUGCAUCAAACACAGGUACAGGCACUGACUCUACAAUCACUGCACCAAACACGGGUACAGACAUCAACUCUACAAUCACUGCAUCAAACACAGGUACAGACACUGACUCUACAAUCACUGCAUCAAACACAGGUACAGACACUGACUCUACAAUCACUGCAUCAAACAAAGGUACAGACACUGACUCUACAAUCACUGCACCAAACACAGGUACAGACACUGACUCUACAAUCACUGCACCAAACACGGGUACAGACAUAUACUCUACAAUCACUGCAUCAAACACAGGUACAGACACUGACUCUACAAUCACUGCAUCAAACACAGGUACAGGCACUGACUCUACAAUCACUGCACCAAACACGGGUACAGACAUCAACUCUACAAUCACUGCAUCAAACACAGGUACAGGCACUGACUCUACAAUCACUGCACCAAACACAGGUACAGACAAUGACUCUACAAUCACUGCACCAAACACAGGUACAGACAAUGACUCUACAACCACUGCAUCAAGCACACUAGUUGCACUGCAUGCAUGCAUGCCCAUACACACACUAGUUACACUACAUCCAUGUCCCUAUGUUCACACUGCUUACACUGCAUCCAUGUCCCCAUACACAUGCUGGUUUCACUGCAUCCAUAUCACCAUAUACACACUGCUUACUAUACAUCUCUGUCCUCAUACACAAAUUGGUUACACUGCAUCCAUGUCCAUACACACACUUCUUACACUGCAUCAAUAUCCCCAUACACACAUUGUGUCGCCGUGGGAACCUCAACGACAAUAGGUGCAAUGAUACCUGGCACCGCAGAAGGAACACUAGUAGUGAGACUAAGCACGAGCGAGGGGGACCUCAUGCCUCUUUGUACAGCCCUUGCGGCUGUUGAGCGGUCGACCAAACCGACGAAAGCUAACUAUCUAAGGGGGAAUCCCUGCUCGCUUGUGUCCCUGCUCCCACUGAUCCAAAAAAAACCUAAGACCCGUCAGGUACCCCCCUAGCAAAGGACCGAAUGAAGGCACUGCAAUGAAGAAACAGUGCUGUACUCACCAGCCGAUGCCCGAUGGCCCACCCGCGGCAAAGGAAUUGAUGGAAGAUCCAGGCAGGAUUGAGGUAAAUCCACUUUCACUAGUAUUCAGCCUUCCAGGAGUUCCAGACACCAUCUGCUGGGCAGUCCCAGGAACAGCAGCCAGAUUCUGUGAGAAGAGCAGUGGAGAGGAGAUUAAGCUCACACCCCGCAGAGGAGGGCACCCAAGGUAAGUAACCAGGGGAGAAAGAGGGACCAGCAGACGACACAGAGGGAACAGGAAGAAAGGGGGCAGAAGGGAGGAGAGAGAGAGAGGGCUAGAAAGUUGGACAGAGGCAAGGAGGGGAACCAGAACUAGGGGAGAAGGAACCAAAUAGGCAGGGGGGCGGGGCACAGAGUAAGAGGGCCCAACAAGAGAGGACAGGGAGGACACCAAAGGAGGGGAUGAGAGAACGGGGAACGAUGGACAGAAGCAGGGGAGGAGAGGGAGACACCCCAAGCUGACCCUGGUCUCCAGAGGACAUACCAGAACCCGCGUGUCGCGUGUCGGAUGGGGUAGACAAGCGGGCCUGGCGGCGCCUCAGGCCUGGGCUCCGGCUCAAGCGAGCAGGAUGACGGGAGCGUCGGCCCGUGCUCGUGCAGCCUACAGAGGUUGUGGCUGCAUGGGAGGCCCCAGCAGAGGCUUGGUCACGAGGAUGGGGGGGAACCAAGACCGGUAGCCAAACCAGGCUGGAGGUGAGCAAAUUUCUCACGGAGGCACCUGACACCAUCCAAGGCAGCUGAAGCUCUGAGGGCAGACAGGAUACCUUCCACAUCCAUCCUCAAGCAGAAAGUUUCCUAGGCCCAGGGCAAACAGGAGCAACAGAGUAAGGGUUCAUUGUUUGCUGGCCCGUCUCCCAAGAGGCACUGAGGUAAGAUGAUCCAUACACCACUCCCAUAUACACAUACAGCCAAUCACAAGCAUCCAUCCCCACCCUCAUACAUGUUCCCUUGUCCGCUUAGCUGUGCUAUCUCCCCGGGGCCUGGUUUCUCUAUCAGUGUGCUCAUACAUAAAUGCAGGAGCUCAGUUAUCUUGUUUUCUUGUAAAAUAUUUCAAAUAGCAAAUCGGUUAACAUUAUAAUUUAGGCAUCGCAUUCUCAGGAACGUAAAGGGUUUAAUCAUUCCUCACCCUUUUCUUCUUGUCAUAAAAUUACCUUCUUAAAAUCAGCACAUAGGAACGGAAAUCACAUAAUUGGCUGAGAUGCCUUUCUGUAUAAAACCUCUUCCAUAAACUGGCUGUGGAGUAAAAAUAAUUCCUUGCUCUGUAUGAAAGUUUAAUAGAAUAGCUCUGUGAGUAGAAUGAUUUAUUUAACACGCACUGAAUGGGACUUGGCUUGUGAUUUAUUGCAUUCUGAUUCAACUGACUCCAGGUUAUCCCAGGCGAGGGAUUUGGCAGCGAGGUAGCUGUGUAAAGUAGGUCGCGCAGCCUUUUCUCCCAGUCCUGCCCGCGCAUGUUAAGUAGAAAUGAAGACAAACUUCGUAGCCGAUCAUUGAUAGCAGUGAUGGGGAACAUUCAGCCCUCCAGAUGUUCUGCACUACAUUUCCCAUAAUGCUGUUAUAGCUAUAAUGCUGGCAAAGCAUCAAGGGAGAUGUAGUACAAAACAUCUAGAGGGCUGUAGGUCCUCCCUCCCUCCGAUUUACGGAGACACAGAAACUGAGCACGUUAGUUACAAACAACCCUGAUUAUUCUAGGAUAGCCUUGGUACAUAUCAAGAGAAAUUCUAUGCUUGACUUGUGAUCCUUCAAUGAUUCAUUGGGCACCUAUACCCACCAUGUUUUCCUACAGACAUUUCACGUCUACGUGUGGAUUCAGUACAUCCAGUGCCGGCCGUUCUAUGCAGCAUUUAUUGGCUGUAGGUGGGGAGCCGGUUAAUUCAUUAACCCUCUUAUGGCAGAUGCUAAACACAGAUAAGGGCAGCACGUGUCUAAGAGGUUUUCAUUUGUGGUCAUUUUUUGGGGGGUGGGGGGGGUCAGUGGAGAGUCCCUUUAACAUUGACUUGAAUGUAUCUCCUGAACCCACUGAAGAAGUGGUUUUAGUGUGUAGAUGUUGCUUUUAAAGAUCUCAUUCACAAUGAGAAAACUCUCCUGGAUUAAAAAUAUGUGUUUAGUUGCCACCUUGUUUUCAUUUUACAAAAAGUGCAAAUUUCAAUAAAAAUUGGCACUUUUAUUAAUGAACCUUGUUACACCUUGCUGGCUGUCAGACUAGUCCUGUUACUUCCUGGUUUAGCUCAGUGAAGCUAAACUCAAAAGGCGUCUCCUUGAGCUGCAUUGGGAAAUCUGUGAUUGGACAGCCACAGAAAGUCUGGACAGGGUUAGAAGGGGAGGGCUUGCAAAGGCUGCAAACAAGAGUUUUGCAGGUACAUAAUUAAGUGCAUGUUUUCACGGGAGGUAAAUCAGGUAAACAAAAUUUUUAUUGUAUCCGAGAGGGGGGUGAAGUGUCUCGUUAAUGACAGCCAAAAUUAUUUACUUGCAUUAACUGCUUUAUUAAGAGGUUAUUAAGGGCAUUUCUUUGGGAUCCUUCAUUAAAUACUUUUUUUCCCUCCAUAACAUUUACUCCUGGAUAAUGACGAUUACUAUGUGUCCAAUUAAAUAUGGGUGAUCUGACAACCAUAAAGACCUUGAGUUACGAAGAUCCUCUUUCCAUUGGUGGAAGAUUGGAAAACAAAUUUUCUGCUAUGACAUAAAUUUAGAGCAAACAUGAAUGGCGUGAAUCAAUGGGUCUGUAAUUAAUAUCAUAGAUUGGUUGUAAUGGUGUACUAAUGGCAAGCUUCGGACAUCUUAAAACCCGUGUAGUGAAUCUUACCAUAAGCAUCACUUUAAAUCACAGUCUACCAGGGCCGGUGCAAUGAUUUUUGGCUACACAGACGAAGACGCAUUUUGACACCCUCCUUAAAAAAAUGUGUCUUCACCUGUGUGUCUUGUAACUCCCCUUUUGAAUUUCUUACCCUCGUUAGUGUAUUUUAUCCCCCAUUACUAUGUCUUACAACCCCACUUGUGUAUCUGUUACUUUCCCCAGCCUGUUUGUGUUUCUCUUUCUUACCCUCGGGGGCUGAGAGGGGUGGACAAGGGCACAUGGGCUGCAGAGGGGGGACAGGAGCAGGAGAGGGGGUGGACAUGAGCAGGAGAAGGGGGUGGGCAGGAUCAGACGAGGGGGUGGACAGAAGCUGGAGAGAGGAUGGACAGGAGCAGGAGAGGGGGGUGGGCAGGAACUGGAGAGGGGGGUGGGCUGGAGCUCGAAAGUGGUGGACAGGAGCAGGAGAGUGGGUGGACAGGAGCAGGAGAGUGGGUGGACAGGAGCAGGAGAGGAGGUGGGCAGAAACUGGAGAGCAGGAGCUGGAGAGGGGGUGGACAGGAGCAGGAGAGGGGGGUGGACAGGAGCAGGAGAGGGGACUUGAAAAAAAAUCACCAGACGAAAUGCGUCGAGCAGUUUCUGAGAAACCCCGAGGACUGGAACCGUAAGCUGCUACCUAGAACUUCCACAGGACAUCACCAAGCUCCCCUUAUUUCUACCUGAGGACUGGUGACUGAAAAUUGGACUGACAUCCUGAGAUACCAUCGGCUGAUUUCAACCAGACGGGGACUAAGCCCUUUUAGUGGCUAAAAAGCUAUUUUGCAAAACAGAUAUAUUUCUCUUUGUGCCAUUUUAUUUGUGAGUUUUUCUCUAUUGUUUUUACAUUAAUUUUUUUGUCUAUCUUUAAAUACUUCACUAUGUAUUAUCUUCUUUUAUGUUUCUAUUACAUGCUUUAUACUGCCGUCUGAGUGGUAAAUAUAUUCACACAAACUAUACUACUUCUGUUUUUUUUUUCAUUUGUGGGAUUUGGGAGUGAUCCCUUAUUGAGUGACCAGCCUGCACUUUCCAUUUGCACUUUUCCCCACUCACCGAUUCCUUUUCUUAGUCAGCUAUGCCCUCAGUCUGGUUACACUGGCCUUAAAGGGACACUCCAGGCACCCAGACCACGUCUGCCCAUUGGAGUGGUCUGGGUGCCAACUCCCAUCACCCUUAACCCUGCAAGUGUAAUUAUUGCAGUUUUUAUUAACUGCAAUAAUUACCUCGCAGGGUUAAGUCCUCCUCUAGUGGCUGUCUAUCAGGCUUCCAGCUUUAUGUUUCAAAUUACACUGGACGUCCUCAAGCGAUGCAUGAGGACCUCCAGCGUCGCCAGAAUCCCCAUAGGAAAGCAUUAAAUAAUGGGGGGGUCUAAUGCACGCGAGCUGCCUGGAUUCAGGUAAGUCACUGAAGGGGUUUUAACCCCUUCAGCAACAUGGGAUGGGAUGUGGGAGGGAGAGGGGGGCACUGGAGGAUCCUGCAGUGCCAGGAAAAUGCUUUUGUUUUCCUGGCACUGGAGAGUCCCUUUAAAUUUGAAAUUCACUAUUGAAAUUCUCAUUUUACUAAAUUACAUUGUAUAUUCAUAGUAGAAGGUUGGGCUCUCCAGGGAUUGGAGAGGUAGGGACACAAUGAUCUCAAUGUAGUUAUUUUGGAUAAGCUUCAAAUGAUCACAAUCAGUUCGAAAAAACUCUUCAAAUGAUUUUUCUACAGGGUGCCAAUAAAGUCUGUGGGAAGUUUUGUAUCAAAGUAAUUCUAACAAACUAUGAUCAUUAAUCAAGGACAAUGUGCAUUAUACAAAGGACAUGUAAAAUCAAUGGGAUGAGAGAAGGCUACACCUGGCAGAGAAAGCAGUGUGAGAUUUAUUAGUAUUUAUAUAGAGUCAACAUAUUCUACAGUGCAUAACAAUUGUAGAAAGCGGGUAUUUAGAGGUGAUGAAACCCUUGCUCAAGUGAGCUUACAAUCUGAGAGUAUUUGUGGUAGGCAAAUGUAUAUCAUUAGGUGUCUUCCCAUGGACGCUUAGUGAUAUUACCACUGUGCUAAACAGCCAAUAUGUGUUAGGGUAACAUUGUACUAUAAUUGAAGCGUUUAAUAAACUUGGUAACAGUUGUCAAGGAUCAGGCCCAUUACGUUCAUUUCAGAGUUCUAUCACAGCCUGAUAGAACUCUUUGGCCAAUAAAACCCAGACACAGCAGCUUCGAUAUGAAACUCCCCUUGUAUAGUAUAUAGAAUGACAGGACACAGGAGAAAGGAAAAACUGCAAGCAGCUGUGAGUUUGGAUUAGUCCAUGGAUUGUCCCUCUGCUGAUGCAUUGUUAUUUGGUGCACACAGACUAGGAGAUCAGUAAAGAGCUGCGGUUAGAGCUGGUAGGGUGUGAAGCUUGCCAGGAAGGAAGUUCAAAGCAUCUGGUGGUAGGAAGUGGUUCUACCUCGCACAGAACAGGCAACAAAAGCAAGACACGGAUAGAAUAAUAUAUUAUAUUACUGGUCAAUGGUAUGGCCAGCCUCAACCCAAGCUUGGUCAAACCAACACUGAUAACAGGACGGAUCCUAAGGUCACUGAUGCCUGGGUGCAAGAAAAUUUUUGGCAUGCCAGGUGUGUGGCUGUAUUACUAACACCUCCCCUUCAUAAACAUAACAUUUCUAACCACACCCAUUUUAUAUGCAAGCCACUCCACCUCUUUGAGCCCCACAACUUCAACAGUCACCCACUUCCUACAGUGCCAGCUUUGCUUCAAAAAAGAUUAUCAGUGCCAUCUUUGUGCCCAGCUACCCAGUGCCAUCUCUGAACCAAUACAUUUUCCCAGUGCCAUCUUUGUGUCCAGCUACCCAGUGCCAUCUCUGUACCAAUACAGCUUCCCAGUGCCAUCUUUGUGUCCAGCUACCCAGUGCCAUCUCUGUACCCAUCCAGCUUCCCAGUGCCAUCUUUGUCCCAAAAUAACUCAUCAGUGUCAUCUUUGUGUCCAAAUUGCUUACCAGUGCCAAGGGCGGAUCCUGAACCUAUCUCAGUAGGAGCAUUGGUACUGGGUUGUAAUGAGGUGGUAGGGGAUGUAAUUGAGGUGUUGGGGGCUGUAGUGGGGAGCUAUGGCUGUUGGGGUGGGAGAGAGACUGUAGUAGGAUGGUUAGGAGCUGUAGCAGAGGGUAUAGGUUGUAAUUGUGGCUCUAGAGCAUAAGGGCUAAAUAAAUACUAGUUUAUUCUCCCCUUCCUGAAACAUACCUUGCACCAAGGAGGGGGUAAUCCUGAUUCCCAGUGGUCCCAGGCACUGACUGUGAUAAGCAGACCAGGGUAUAAUUAAACAGAAGGGCAACAUCUGCCUUUAUAGCCAAAUAAUAUUUUAACAAUGUGCUGUCAGUUUGGGAAUUCACAUUCCCAAUAAAGUAAAUCCAGAUUCUGUAUACAUACCAUUACAGCUGUGUGAUGCUGAUGGCAGGUUCAGUUUAAAGUUAUUAUACUGGAUGUAGAAAAAACAGCUCCUGACUAUAUAAGCAAAUGUUGUAAAUUAUUAGGAGUGAAUCCGGUUAAUAGUGAAAUUUUAACCCCUCAAAAAAAAAGGUACCUGCGGACUAUCCCAAAUCCUGAUGCACAUUUAAAUAACUAGAAGUAAUAAUGAAAAGAAUGUUUUGUAAAUACAGUAUAAAUAAGCACACACAAAACAAAAGCAUGAUUCCUACACUAACAAUGAGACAGGAAGGGGUAUUUUUCUAAAACCCUUAAAGAGAUCCUAACAGUGCCAGGAAAACAAACCCCGUUUUCCUGGCACUAUAGACUCCUGGAGUGCCCCCCUCUCUCGGGGCUGAAUGGGUUAAAUUCCAUUCAGCCACUUACCUGGGUCAUGCUCCCCCCACGCUCCUACGCUGACAUCAGCUGGCGGGUGAGACCUAAUGCGCAUGCGCAGCAAUGGCUAUGCACGCAUUAGACCUCACCACAGGAAAUCAUUAUUCAAUGCUUUCCUAUGGGACAAAUCUGAUGCUGGAGGUCUGUGAGGCUGUCCAGCGUCAGAUAACGGACCAAAAGUCAGUUAGAAUUUCGGAAGCCCUGUAGUGGCUGUCUGUUAGACACAGAUGGCAGACUUAGUUCUCUGGAACUGCAACUUUUUACAUUGCAACACUAUGUGCAAAAGAGACACAGCACCCAGACCACUUCAAUGAGUCUGGGUGGAUACAGUGUCCCUUUAAUAGGGAACACAUGGGGUGGGCGGCAGCACUGUAACAUGGCUGUGUAAUACAAAAGUAAAUACAAACAAAAGAGUCCUGCACUUAAACUCCCACUACCUGUGGGCGGCAGCAAUGGCAAUAGCACAGCCCCAAUACAGACAAUAAAAACCACAAAAGAUAAAAGAGCUGUAAUUCUGCCUAAAUACAUUUGCAAACUUGUACAAAUUGAGAUGCAUCCCCCAAAAAUGCUCAAAUCAAGUGCUGAUACCUGCUUAGAAAAGUAUGGAAACCGUGCCGCAGUUCCAGUUUACGAGACAGAGUAAGCAGUUGUGUGAGUAAUAUGGGCAAGAUAAACGCAAGCAGUGAUACGUUCUAAAGGUGUUUCAGUAGUAAGAAGCCAAAUCUGACGUUAUAGAAUUAAGAAGGGUUGGGCACUCAGACGCUGAGUACAGGAGCUGGAUGUAAUGAAUUAUUGUAUGGGAAUUAUGUCCUGUAUUAUAACUAUGAAGGUCUUCACUGACACUUGAACCACAGUAUGCUAAAACCAACAGCAAUUAACAAACAGGGCUAUUCACUAACGUGAGAAUUGUCAAGAAUUUCUAAUUUAAGGUCAAAAAAGCCAUACUGGAGUCAGCUACGCUUCCAGAUCCACUGUUUUGGCCUUAAAGGAAUAUUAGGAAUACAAAUCAAAUCUAGUGUCCCUGUCCCUAUCUGCAGAAGACCUUACACCCCCUCCUCAUUUCUGAUGGAGGAAUACAGAAUGUGGAGAUUCAGUGAGAUGAGGACAGUGUACAUCUGGGAAAGGUUGUGAUGGGUGGAGGGAUGGUUUUGGUUAGUUCCUAAAGAGCAUGAGGGAGGGGGGCUGUUUCUGUGGUAUUGAUGGGGACUGUCAUUAUGGCCACAUCGUUUUUUUUUUUAUUACAAUAUUUUUAGGUAUCUGUAUUCCUAGAAAUGCUAUCAUGUUCCUUAUGAAGAUCCAUUAGUAUACUGACUAUUUCUAUCACUCCUUUAUGGUGAAUAUUAUUUAUGUCUAAAACCUUUUAACACCUUACAACAUUUCUGAAAAGAUUAAAUAUUAAAGGAACACAAUAGGGUCAGGAACACAAACAUGCAAACAUGUUUUCCUGACCCUAUAGUGUAAAAAUCACAAUCUACACCCUCACCCCCACUUCCCCCUAGCCUCCCUAAAUAUAGUAAAAUCUUACUUGUAUGCAAGUGUAAAGCUGCUGCCUCUGCCCCUGAUCUUCUUGCUUCAGAAGUGGUGGUCUGAGCCAAUCACAGUGCUUCCCCGUAGGAUUGGCUGAGACUGUCAAAGAGGCAGAUCAGGGGCAGAGCCAGCACAAGUCAAACACAGCCCUGGCCAAUCAGCAUCUCCUCAUAGAGAUACAUUGAAUGAACGCAUCUCUAUGAGAAAAGUUUCUCCAUGCAGAGGGUGAAGACUCUGAAUGUCAGUACUGCUCACUGUGCUGCACUGCCCCAGGAAGCACCUCUAGUCGCCAUCUGAGGAGUGGCCAGUGGAGGUAUCACUAGACUGUAAUGUAAACACUGCAUUUUGUCUCAAUACAUAGUGUUUACUGCAAAAAGCCUGAAGGGAAUGAUUCUACUCACCAGGACAAACACAAUAGUAGUUGUAGUUGUUUUGGUGACUAUAGUGUCCCUUUAAGCUAACGUUGUCACUAUAGUGUUUCUUUAAAUGAAAAACACUAUAUAUUGUGUCCUGCUUUGCAGCCGGGGGUCAGUUUAAUGUUUAUUACACAAACCUGACCACGUGAGGUAGAAUAGUAAAUCACAAUCCGUUUUACACAAUUUCAGCACAAUUCACUAAACUACAAACUGUGGAAGAAUGAUAUAAAUUGCAGUUUUAAGGCCAAAAUAUGUAUCAUUAAAUUAGCAAAACCCACAAUUUCAAUUAAGGGAUCAAGCCUUUUUGCACAAUUUUUGUUUUCAAUUAUUUCCAUGUGUUAAUAAAAUUUUCAAUUAUUUGAAAAACGUCCGACCUGAGACGUUUUAGAAAAUGAAUUAGAACGCACACAGUGUCUAUACAUCCAAAGAGGUUUUUUUUAAAUGCUCCAAUCAUGAAUGAAUACCAUGGUAUAAUAAAGUCUAAUCGCUGCAGAUAACCAUUUGUUUUGUGCUUUUAGGACUCUGAGGAAGUCGAAAGUUAACCAAGAAGAGGAGAAAGUGGACUCUGUGGAAUGAUUUAGUGUGCGUUUCCUGGAUACCGUGUACUAUGCAUGCAACAUUAAACCUUCAUCCAGCUGACAAUAAAUAAAGUGCCCUUGCUACAA